Molecule: long non-coding RNA, 413 nt
Organism: Salvia splendens (bonfire salvia)
Lineage: Eukaryota; Viridiplantae; Streptophyta; Magnoliopsida; Lamiales; Lamiaceae
Exons: 3
Source: RefSeq, a predicted model, not a curated record
AGGGAUUGUUCGUGUGUGGCGUAUACGCAGCUGAAUAUCAGUGGCGACGGGAGUGGAUACUUGUUCUACCAUGGCGACUUGAUCGAUAUCAGAGCUAUGGCUUCGUCCGGCCAGGAUCUUUAUAUCAGAAUUGCUGCUUCUGAGCCUGGUGAUGUGGCGAGCACGAACAGCAAUGGCCGAAAUAGAGGGCGAACAAGAACUAUAGUUAUAGCAAGUACUACGUCGGUAGUGGUGAUGGUUUUUGUGUGCCUAAUCUUCGUUUAUGUUUUAUGGCCGGAGGAGAAAGAACUAUCCGAGUAUGAAUGAUGAAGGGCAACUCAUGUGAAAGAAGGGGAGCUGCCGUUCUUUAGCUUGCCUAAGGUCAUGAAAGCUACUGAUAAUAUUUCGAACAAGAACAAACUUGGUGAGGGUGG